Molecule: ribosomal RNA, 458 nt
Filed under: uncultured soil bacterium
Lineage: Bacteria
Description: bacterial SSU rRNA
Rfam family: Bacterial small subunit ribosomal RNA
Source: RNAcentral
AGAAUCAACGCUGGCGGCGUGCCUCAGACAUGCAAGUCGAACGCGAAAGUCCUCUUCGGGGGACAAGUAGAGUGGCGCACGGGUGAGUAACACGUAGGUAAUCUACCUUUGGAUGGGGAAUAACAACCGGGAAACGGUUGCUAAUACCGCAUAAUGCAGCGGCACCUAAUGGUGACAGUUGUAAAGCGGGGGAUCGAAAGACCUCGCGUCUGAAGAGGAGCCUGCGGCGAUUAGCUAGUUGGUAAGUAAUGGCUUACCAAGGCUACGAUCCGUAACCGGCCUGGAGAGGGCGGUCGGUCACACUGACACUGACAUACGGGUCAGACUCCGUAGGGAGCAGCAGUCGGUAAUUUGGGCAAGUGGGACGUAAAGCCGUACGACCCGAGACGAACGCCGCGUACGGAAGGUAUAGGAACUCCCGUCGGUAUACGUAAACUUCGACAAACGAACGAAGGAAG